This 460-nucleotide ribosomal RNA is filed under the name uncultured bacterium. Its description in RNAcentral is "partial 16S ribosomal RNA". It matches the Rfam family "Bacterial small subunit ribosomal RNA", at positions 338 to 795 of the family's 1533-position model. The record is from RNAcentral.
CCUACGGGUGGCAGCAGUGAGGAAUAUUGGUCAAUGGACGAGAGUCUGAACCAGCCAAGUAGCGUGAAGGAUGACUGCCCUAUGGGUUGUAAACUUCUUUUAUAUGGGAAUAAAACGUUCCACGUGUGGGAUUUUGUAUGUACCAUAUGAAUAAGGAUCGGCUAACUCCGUGCCAGCAGCCGCGGUAAUACGGAGGAUCCGAGCGUUAUCCGGAUUUAUUGGGUUUAAAGGGAGCGUAGGUGGAUUGUUAAGUCAGUUGUGAAAGUUUGCGGCUCAACCGUAAAAUUGCAGUUGAAACUGGCAGUCUUGAGUACAGGAGAGGUGGGCGGAAUUCGGGGUGUAGCGGUGAAAUGCUUAGAUAUCACGAAGAACUCCGAUUGCGAAGGCAGUUCACUGGACUGCAACUGACACUGAGGCUCGAAAGUGUGGGUAUCAAACAGGAUUAGAUACCCCUGUAGUC